GACGAACGCUGGCGGCGUGCUUAACACAUGCAAGUCGAACGGAAAGGCCCGGCUUUUGUGGGUUUCUCGAGUGGCGAACGGGUGAGUAACACGUGAGUAACCUGCCCUUGACUUUGGGAUAACUUCAGGAAACUGGGGCUCAUACCGGAUAUAAGCUCCUGCAGCACGGUGGGGGUUGGAAAGUGUCGGCGGUUGGGGAUGGACUCGCGGCUUAUCAGCUUGUUGGUGGGGUAGUGGCUUACCAAGGCUUUGACGGGUAGCCGGCCUGAGAGGGUGACCGGCCACAUGGGGCCUGCGAGACGGAGCAGACUCCUACGGGAGGCAGCAGUGGGGAAUAUUGCACAAUGGGCGGAAGCCUGAUGCAGCAACGCCGCGUGCGGGAUGACGGCUUUCGGGUUGUAAACCGCUUUCGACUGUGACGAAGCGUGCGUGACGGUAAUGGGUAAAGAAGCACCGGCUAACUACGUG
This 468-nucleotide ribosomal RNA is filed under the name uncultured bacterium. Its description in RNAcentral is "partial 16S ribosomal RNA". It matches the Rfam family "Bacterial small subunit ribosomal RNA", at positions 28 to 507 of the family's 1533-position model. The record is from RNAcentral.